Molecule: microRNA, 22 nt
Filed under: Polistes canadensis
Lineage: Eukaryota; Metazoa; Arthropoda; Insecta; Hymenoptera; Vespidae
Description: pca-miR-750-5p
Gene: pca-miR-750-5p
Source: miRBase by way of RNAcentral
AGUUGGAAGUGAGGAUCUAGGC